RNAcentral lists this ribosomal RNA (253 nucleotides) under uncultured bacterium. RNAcentral's name for it is "partial 16S ribosomal RNA". It matches the Rfam family "Bacterial small subunit ribosomal RNA", at positions 524 to 776 of the family's 1533-position model. The record is from RNAcentral.
UACGUAGGGUGCAGGCGUUAAUCGGAAUUACUGGGCGUAAAGCGUGCGCAGGCGGUUUGCUAAGACAGGUGUGAAAUCCCCGGGCUUAACCUGGGAACUGCGCUUGUAACUAGCAGGCUAGAGUGUGGCAGAGGGGGGUGGAAUUCCACGUGUAGCAGUGAAAUGCGUAGAGAUGUGGAGGAACACCGAUGGCGAAGGCAGCCCCCUGGGCUAACACUGACGCUCAUGCACGAAAGCGUGGGGAGCAAACAGG